UGGAUCCAGACUUUGAUCAUGGCUCAGGAUAAACGCUGGCGGCGCACAUAAGACAUGCAAGUCGAACGGACUUAACUCAUUCUUUUAGAUUGAGAGCGGUUAGUGGCGGACUGGUGAGUAACACGUAAGCAACCCGCCUAUCAGAGGGGAAUAACAGUGAGAAAUCAUUGCUAAUACCGCAUAAGCUAGUAGUAUCGCAUGAUACAGCUAGAAAAGGAGCAAUCCGCUGAUAGAUGGGCUUGCGUCUGAUUAGCUAGUUGGUGGGGUAACGGCCUACCAAGGCGACGAUCAGUAGCCGAACUGAGAGGUUGAACGGCCACAUUGGGACUGAGAUACGGCCCAGACUCCUACGGGAGGCAGCAGUCGGGAAUAUUGCGCAAUGGAGGAAACUCUGACGCAGUGACGCCGCGUAUAGGAAGAAGGUUUUCGGAUUGUAAACUAUUGUCGUGAGGGAAGAAAAUGACAGUACCUCAGGAGGAAGCUCCGGCUAACUAUGUGCCAGCAGCCGCGGUAAUACAUAGGGAGCAAGCGUUAUCCGGAAUUAUUGGGUGUAAAGGGUGCGUAGACGGGAAAUUAAGUUAGUUGUGAAAUCCCUUGGCUUAACUGAGGAACUGCAACUAAAACUGGUUUUCUUGAGUACUGGAGAGGAAAGUGGAAUUCCUAGUGUAGCGGUGAAAUGCGUAGAUAUUAGGAGGAACACCAGUGGCGAAGGCGACUUUCUGGACAGUAACUGACGUUGAGGCACGAAAGUGUGGGGAGCAAACAGGAUUAGAUACCCUGGUAGUCCACACUGUAAACGAUGGAUACUAGGUGUAGGGUGUAUUAAGCACUCUGUGCCGCCGCAAACGCAUUAAGUAUCCCACCUGGGGAGUACGACCGCAAGGUUGCAACUCAAAUGAAUUGACGGA
RNAcentral lists this ribosomal RNA (908 nucleotides) under uncultured Bacillota bacterium. RNAcentral's name for it is "bacterial SSU rRNA". It matches the Rfam family "Bacterial small subunit ribosomal RNA", at positions 1 to 917 of the family's 1533-position model. Lineage: Bacteria; Bacillati; Bacillota. The record is from RNAcentral.